RNAcentral lists this small nuclear RNA (108 nucleotides) under Cervus hanglu yarkandensis (Yarkand deer). The record is from RNAcentral. Lineage: Eukaryota; Metazoa; Chordata; Mammalia; Artiodactyla; Cervidae.
GUGCUGUCUUCGGCAGCACAUAUACUAAAAAUUAGAACGAUGCAGAGAAGAUUAGCAUGGCCCCUGCGCAAGGAUGACAGGCAAAUUCAUGAAGCGUUCCAUAUUUUU